Molecule: long non-coding RNA, 202 nt
Filed under: Elaeis guineensis (African oil palm)
Lineage: Eukaryota; Viridiplantae; Streptophyta; Magnoliopsida; Arecales; Arecaceae
Description: long non-coding RNA (EGUI_LNC030596)
Source: RNAcentral
AGCAUAUUUGAAAGUUUUUGGUUGGAAUUUGGACGGCGUCCCCUUGGCUCUUUCUAAACAUAGAGAGAGAGGGCCGACCAUCAAUCACUAAGAGUGACUCUACUGUCAUUAUCAAUUACCAAUGGAUUUAGGGCUAGAUAGGGAUAUCUACAGCUUAUCCACUUUUGCGUGACAUCUGGAGAGUCUCUAGAGGUUAUGUCUC